GGAGAGGUGGCCGAGAGGUCGAAGGCAGGCGCUUGCUAAGCGUCCGUACGUUAACAGCGUACCGCGGGUUCGAAUCCCGCCCUCUCCG
This 88-nucleotide transfer RNA is filed under the name Deltaproteobacteria bacterium. RNAcentral describes it as "tRNA-Ser". It matches the Rfam family "tRNA". Rfam says of the family: Transfer RNA (tRNA) molecules are approximately 80 nucleotides in length. Their secondary structure includes four short double-helical elements and three loops (D, anti-codon, and T loops). The record is from RNAcentral. Lineage: Bacteria; Pseudomonadati; Myxococcota; Myxococcia.